CUGGGUGUAGCUCAGUCUGGCCAGAGUGCCUGGUUCGGAUCCAGGAGGCCGCCGGUUCGAAUCCGGCCACCCAGA
This 75-nucleotide transfer RNA is filed under the name Acidithiobacillus ferrooxidans ATCC 23270. It matches the Rfam family "tRNA". Rfam says of the family: Transfer RNA (tRNA) molecules are approximately 80 nucleotides in length. Lineage: Bacteria; Pseudomonadati; Pseudomonadota; Acidithiobacillia; Acidithiobacillales; Acidithiobacillaceae. The record is from Rfam by way of RNAcentral.